GAGACCUUUGUUCACUUGUUUAUCUGCUGACCUUCCCUCCACUAUUGUCCCAUGACCCUGCCAAAUCCCCCUCUCUGAGAAACACCCAAGAUUUAUCAAUAAAAAAAUAAAUUUAAAACAAAAAAACAAAAAAACAAAAAAACAGGGAUGUGAGCCAAUAUCUUUAAGUAAAAACAGUCACAUGGAACUUUUGCAAAACACGCCUACAACACACACCUGUGUCCACCAACCUACCCAGGAUUCUGACUUCCUGAGAUAUUACCAUGUUUUCCUUGGGAUUAUCUUGGAAUAAAUAUAAAGGCCAAUUAAUAUACUGGUGCUAUAAGCAUAUUAUAUCUUCAUUUUUCCGAUGAAGGCUACCUGGUUGGCUCUUGGAGAGGUGAUCUAAUCUAUAGUCUCACUCCCUAAUCUAAGUUCACUUUCAGGUCAGAUGUCCCCAGUUUGUUUCUGAUUCAAUGAUCUCAUCUCCUUCAAGGGAGCUACUCAUCCUUCAAAGGACUGCUAUUAAAAAAUCACGCUGGCGACUUACCUUACCUACUCCAGAGGAAAUUUUCCAGCUCUGAAUUCCUGCAUAUCAUAACAACGGCUAGCCUGGCUGACCUGACUACAGAGUGUGCUGUGACCUCUGCUCACCAAGAACCCUGUUGUCUUCUUUUUUCUGGAUCCACAGUGAAGCUCCAUUCUCAGCCUCCCUUGAGGUCAUGUGUGACCCUGUAGCCGAGUUCUAGUCAAUGGACUGUAAGUUGAAGUGCUAUGUGCCCCUUUCAGGCCAUGUUCAAAAAUAUGCCGCAUAUGUUCCCUCCUUCUUCCACAUGUCUGGAUGUCUGGGAUGAAGGAAACCCCUGGGAUGACCUUAGAAGUUACAGGUUGAGUCCCUGAAUGACUACCUGGAGCUUAAUAAAAAAUAUGGCAGCUUAUUUUCCAAGACGACUGCCAUCAGUUCCUUUCUUACCUAUGGGAACAUGCCAUUCCCCAUCAGAAUAUGGAGUCUACUCCUCCCCUCCCUUUAAAUUUAAGCUGACCUCAUUGACCUGACUGUUCAAUAAAUAAAGUACCAUCGUGAUGCUACCUUAAAACUCCCAUCUAGGCUUCCUGGAACCUAGGCACUCUACUGUUCGGAAGUCUAAGGAGCCCUGUUAAGAGGCUCCCGAAAACCAGUAUCAACUUGCUCACCCCCAUGGGUAAAUUGUCCUGGAAGGACAUCCUCCAGUCCCAGUUGAGCUUCCUCAUCUGAGAUCAUGCAGAGCAGAGAAGAACUGUGCAAUAGAGCCUUUUCUGAAUACUAAAUCCACAAAAUUCUGAAAUAUCAUAAAACUAAGUAUUAUUUUGAGCUGCUAAGUUUGGGGUAACUUAUUAUGUAUUGGUAGAAAACUGAAACACUACCUUACCUCCAUCCUAAGACCACUCUGGAAUGUAUAUGUGUUUAAGAAAGUAUCUAUUAUUUUGAGCCUAGAUAUUUAGGUGUAAUUGCCAUUACAGAAAGAGGGAGAGGUAUGCAUUUCUUUUCUAGUACAAGUAUUGUGAGAAGAGAAAAAUGGACAGAGUGAGAAGAAACAGUGAGAUGCAAACUAUUCCUGCCUUUCCUCUCUGGAUUGAAAGUUCAAGAAGUGAUGAAAAGCAUUUGAAAUACACUGAGGAAAACAAGAGGGCAGGAGAGCUUCUGCCAAACUUCACAUUAGGAUCUGAGAGGAAAUCCCCUUGUAGACUAUCUAUUGCAAUCUUGGGGUGCAGCGUAGUAUUGCCUGUAAGAAGAGGGUUUGCACACACACACCACAGCAUUGAGUCAUAAGUGGAAUUUAUAGAGCCCUGGAGUUCUCCUCUGUCCUUGGAGUAGGGUGGCACACAGUUGGCUGAGAGUUGGGAUGAAGAACUUUGGCUGGAGUGGCCCUGGUGGGGCAAAGGGUUGAUAAUGUCAUGAGCUGGAGAGUUGACAAGGACAAAUUUGGAGUGAUAACCAUAUCCAUAAAGCAAGUAAGAGGAGCCACAUCUUGAUAGAGUGUGGCUAGGCCCUGUCAAGCUGAGGAACCAGCCCACAAGUUACACAAGCAUCAGACCCCAACAGCAGACACCAAGACUAUGCAGGGAAAUGAGGCCAGGACUAGUUAGGCAACAUUUGUCUCCACUCCAGACAUAGCACAAAGCAAUCGGGGACCCAGGCUCCCCUCCACCACCACAAGGUUGCUGGAGCCACACUUCCCUCUCUGUCCCAACACUGUCCUUAAGAGGAGCAGAAGAGAGGUCAGAAAAAAAAAGUCAAUGCUUUCAUCCAAAUGAGAUUGAGAAUUUGUCUAAAGAGACUUUAAGUUAUUUGAUCUGAAAACACUGAAUUGGGCUGUGCAUUGUGGGGACUUAGGGAGGAAAUCAGAUCCGUUAAAGGAAAAAAUAAAGAGAGCCCAUUUUUCUUCCUACACAUUGGAGUGUAGUUCGAGUGUAUUUGUGACCCCACUGAACUAUUAGGUUGGUGCAAAAGGAAUUGUGAUUUUUGCCAUUAAGAAAUCGCAAUUACUUUUGCACCAACCUAAUAUAUAGUCAUUUUUACUUUCUAAAUAAGUAAAUCAAACCAUGAACAUCAGAAUUAUAUGCAUGACACAGCAGACAUUAAACCUUUAUUCAAGCUCAGGUCAGUGAGUUUUCUGUAGACUCUGCUGCCUCCUAUCCCAUAUUCUAUAUUUAUUAUCAUGCUUGUGACUUAUACCUCAGAUGUAAACCUUGAACUUAGUUUUGAGAUCUAGCUAUAACUGUAAUAGGGGAGGGAGAUAAAGAGUAAAUGGUGCUUUCAAAGGAUUUAACACACACACACACACACACACACACACACACACAGAGUCACAUAAAUCUGAACAGCAAAUAUUUUCUAUGUAUUUACACACACAGAGGCAAACCCUGCAGAGUACAUGUGUGCGGGUGCAUUAGAUGUAUCAUUAGAUGUAAAGAAUUUAUUUUGCAUACCUGUCCUGUGGAAUGAUGGGUACCUGGAGAUUUUUGUUAGGCCUAGGGUACUUGUUGUCCCUGUGCUUUAUGGAGGAAUGUCUGAAGAGGAUUGUGAUUUGUUUGCCAAAUACUCACCUGGCGUCCACCACUUCUAGGAGGAAGUGAAGGGCUCUACACUGCUUUGCCCUUGCUGGGACACCUUUGGGGAAUCUGAAAGCUCAUGCUGAGCUAAAAGAGCAUUUUAGCUUAAAUACAGGAUCUAUGAUUUGCCUAUGAGACUAACGAAUGAGUGUUAAAUAGCUGUUAAAAGUGUGAUAUCUUGCAGUAUCAUGUAGAUUAGUUUCCCCGUCUAACUUUAUAGGACUUGUUGACAUUCUGUCUAAAAAUUAUAUGGUGCUGGUGGGCUCAACAGUGUAAGAGUGAUUCUGUUUAUGUGGGGCUAAAACAAAGAGGGUUCCAGCAGUUCUUGGCUGUAUAUGAGAAAGUGAUAACAGUAGCAACCCUCAGAAGAUUUGGCUAUAGGGAAGCACUAUUGCCAACCAUUAAUUGAAGGAGCCCACACGGAGGGGAGCAGUGAUCACAGGUGCUGUAAGGGGGCACCAGUGAAGUGACUAAAGAGAAUCACAGAAAGGCAACCCCUACAGAGGAUUCUUCCCUACAGUUCUCUUUCAGAGUGAGUUACUCUUAAUAAAAAGAAAGUUGGGCCAGGCAUGUUGGCUCACACCUGUAAUCCCAACACUUUGGGAGGCCCAGGCGGGUGGAUCACCUGAGGUCCAGAGUUCGAGACAAGCCUGGCCAACAUGGUGAAACCCUGUCUCUACUAAAAAUACAAACAUUACCCAGGCGUGGUGGUGGAUGCCUGUAAUCCCAGCUACUCAGGAGGCUGAGGCAGGAGAAUCACUUGAACCUGGGAGAUGGAGGUUGCAGUGAGCGAAGAUAGUGCCACUGCACUCCAGCCUGGGCAACAGAGCAAGACUCCAUCUAAAAAAAAAAAAAAUCAAUCCACUUUUUCUACUUAACAUAAGUAUGGGGGAAAAGGGGAAAUUUCUUAUCAAAAAAAAUAGUGGACAUAGACGCUUAGAAACUCCAAACUGAAGUUUCUGUCAACACAGAGACUCUGCCCACAGCUUCACAGACUUAGGAGUUGAACUUAAGGAAAGAGUGUUACAGAAAUAUAAGGGGAUGAGCAGUAAAUGACUGCUCUCACAAUCUUAUAUUAAAAUCAGCAGAACUUCAGUUGAUAGUCCUUUUCUUCUCCAUUUGAGGUACACACUGGAAAACUGUUGAGUUUGAAGGCCUUAUUUUGAACAAAUUGCUUGCAUCUGUGAAAAGAUUUUGUAACAUUAUCACUCCUGGGAGAAGCAGACACCCAAUCUUUUAAGAAGCCCCAACAAUCAUGAAAAAAGAGACCAGGAUAUAAGGGAGGCAUGUUUAGGUGAUCGGUUGGGUCUUGCUGUAUUUCUUAGGUUUAAAAAGGUAUGAAAUUCAUCUGCUAGAAGUACUCUCUGUGUCUCUGAUCUUUGUUCUUAGAUAUAACCAUAACUCUUCAGUUACACUGAAUUGCUGCUCUCUCAUUUAUUCAUUUUGCUAUUCUUUCCCAUAAACAUUUUAAAUGUUAAGUCAGUCAGGCCCCCAAAUUCGUCUUGUCAGAUACAUGUUUUUCCAAUGCUAAUUCACUUAUAACUCUAAGAAGAUGGCAUCUCCAUACUAAGCACAAAUGUACUUUUGUUACUUGAUAUAGGCAGGCAAACCACUUGGCAAAUCUGUCUCAAUUUUUCUUCGUAUUUAAUAUUUUUUGAUCCAGUAGAUCAGUUUUAGAAUGACGACUUGACUUAAGAAGGGAUCUAGGAACAAAAGCAAAGUUACUUUUGGAGUGUUUUAAUCUCACAGUAAGCAAAGAAUCAAAAUCAGAUCUGAAAGAUUUCUUUAUUUCUAUUUCAGCAGCUCUUUUAUCAAACAAAUCCCUAUCCAUAUUUUUUACAAAGAAUAAAGAAAUUGGAAACAGCAGCUCUUUUGGAGUAUGAUGCUGGGAUUUAUUGAGUGGCUGGAUUCUAUGAUUAUAUUGGUUCUUAAGCUCCAGAGGACAGUGACCUUCAGAGUCCGUUGCCGAAGGCAAAUGUUCUCUAGAAGGGUCCUUUAAAAAAAGAGCAAGUAAGCAGAUUCAAUCAUUUUUUAUGCAACUUCCUUUUGACCUUUCCCUUGGCAAACACAUCAGCAAAUUACAUGUAGAAUGGAAAUGUGCUUGAUCUGGUCAAAUGACUUCUAUUGAUAUUUUACUCCUCAAUGUUUAAGGGAGAAAUUGAGAGCAUUGCUUAUUUAUUCUGAUUACAUAUGGUAACAAGACUGUAUAAUAUGGUCGUACUAUAGAGAAGGACAGGUUUGAUAACUAACUAGAAAGGCAAUUUUAGGAUCCAUUGAAAACAAAAAGGGGCUUUCUGGCCCAGACAGGGAAGUAGAAGGAAAAAUAGAGAGCAAAAAUAUGGAGAGUGAUUGCAAAAAGACUUGUUUUCUUGCACUCUGGGAACUUUACAGACUUUGAUCUUUCAUGGGACAUAGACUACGUAGGCAAGAGCAAUCUAUCCCUUCCUAAAAGCUAAAAAAUGAAGCUACCACUGGAUUAAACUGACAAGACAGGAGAAAGGACCAGACCAGUGAAGAAAAGAAAGCUGACAAAACGGGAGCUUAAAGGAGAUUCCCAGCCACUUCUAAGACUUAACGAAUGCAGUUUGAUCUUAGGAAACUAAGGUCAUGUGCUUGUUUGAAAAAACAAAGUAAAUACCUUCAAGAAGAGUGAAUACAUUUUACAGACAGAUUUCUCAGGAAUUCCCAGUGUCUGUAUGUAAACCUGUCCGUGAGUGUGGAUAUAUCAAAAAGAGAUGGAUGACUAAUGAGAAUACGUACAUCAAAAAAGAGAUUAAUGACAGAAAUAGUCAACAAAGCAAAAUUUUAAAUAAAUUUAUUUGCUGCAAAAUUUAUUGUUUCCCUAUUAUUUGCUCAUUAAAAACACUUGGGACUCAAAACAAAUUUGCUCUUUCAGGUAGUUUACAUUCUUAUGGGGAAAGACAGACAAUUGACCACAGUAAAUAAAAUAUAUAAUAUGUAAGUUGAUGAGAAGUGCUAUGGAGAAAAGCAAAGUAGUUAGAAAAGUUCUCACUGAUAAAAUUAUAUUUGAGCUCAGACUGGAAGGAGGUAAGGGAACAAAGCCUGGGGAUAAAAGGAGGUAAAAUAUUCGAGGCAGACAAAAGAAGCAGCAUAAAGGCCCUGAGGUAGGGAAAGGUUUGGCACAUUCAAACAUGUUCAGAGUAAAAUAGAUGAGAUAAGAUGUAGAAGAAGUGAGAUUUUCAAAAGGUAUCUAGGAAUCAUAUUAUGCAGGAUCUUGUAGGUUAUGUAUGUCAGUUACCUAUUUCUUCAUCACAAACUACCCCCAAGCCUAGUGGCAAUAACAACCGUUUAUUUUGCUUACAAAAUCUGCAAUUUAAGCAGGGAUUGGUGGAAAGAGCUUAUCUUUGCUCCACAUGGCAUCACAUGGAGCAGCUUGACGAGGGGCUGGAGCAUCUGCCUAAAUGAUAGCUUAGUCACAUCCUGGCAAGGUAGUGCUGGCUGUAAUCUGUGAUCUCGGCCAAAACUAUGGGUUAUAGACCUCAUUCCUACUCUUUAUUAUCUCUUUCUGGGUAUCUUGGGCUUCCUCACAGAUUGGUGGCUAGUUUCCAAGUGUGAGCUUCCCAAGAGAGCAAGGAAGAAAUGCAUGGCACCUGUGACCUAGCCUUGGAAGUCACAGAGCAUCACUUUCGAUAUACUCUACUGAUCAAGUCUGCCUAAAGGUCUGUGCAGGUUCAAUGGGAAGAGACAUAGACCCCAUUUCUUGAUGAGGAAAUGACAAAGCUCUAGAAAAUAUAUGAGGCAAAAGAUAUUAUGUGGCUAUCUUUGGAAAAUACAAUCUGUAACACCACAAUAACAGCUUUGAAAUUUACUGAGUGAAAUGGGUGCCCACUGUAGUGUUGUCAGCAGAGGAGUGACUUAAAUUUUCAACAGGUUGUUCAAUCUUUUUGUUGAAAAUAGAUUGUAGAGAGCAAGGGUUGAAACAGUCUCAACAGUAAAGAGGCUAUUGUUAUAAUGAGGUGAGAUGUGAAAGUGACUUGGACCAGAGUUGUAACAGUGGGGAUGGUGAGAAGUGGGGAGACUUUGAAUAUAUUCUGAAGGUAGAGUCAACAGGAUUUGCUGAGAGAUUAGGAGUGGGGUGUGUGAGAAAGAGAGGAGUCACGUAUAACUCCUUGACUCCCCUUCAGAGAGGAUAUCCCCUCCCUGCUAUAAAUGACUAGUUUUUAUUAGAUUUUGUCACCAUUAAAACAAUUCAAAAAUGAAUAAAAUACCAAAAUAAAACCUGUUUGAAUGCAGCAGAAAGUUCCCAAUGCAGCCAGGAUCUGGGGAUCCAACACGUCAAAGGGAAGGGAAACAUGUGAAAGCAAGCCCAACAUCUCAUGCUACUUUUUCCUUUGAGUCAUUUGCCAGUUUAUGAAUAGGGCAUGUCUGAGAGCUCAGAAGCUGAGCAGAAACAUGAGCCCAACUGUCAGAGAAGCUGGUCAAAGUUGUCAGGAAUCUCAAGGGGCUAAAGAGACAAAAACUGGAGUUCAAGGCUGUCAAUGUAGUCACGAGAAGAGGGAACAAGAUCCCAGACAGCAGAAAAGUGCAAAAAAAGGUACACCAAAAAAGUGAGCUAAACAUUUGGUGAUGCUUUUCCUUUUAGGAAGAUAGUUUCCAAAAGGCCUAGAGGCUGAGAAGAAAAAAACAAAAGUGACUGAGAGGCUAAGACGUUAAGGAGAGCUCUUAAAAAGUCUCAUAAUAUUCAUGAAGUCCAGAGCUUGCUAAGGAUGAUAGACCUUGAUAAACAACCUAGACUUGCAGUAAAUACCUGGUAGGGCUACACCUAGGAGUAAGAGAAACAGACUAGGAUUCCCAAAAAUUACAACUCAGCAUAGAAUCACCUUGAUACCAGACUAAAUUAGGAUGAUCUGCUUCUAUUCUAACUGCCUGCCAGAAGCAGAAAUACAUUCUCCACAUAUCAUGCAGAGCCUCUACAAUUUUUCAUAAACAAUAUUUAUAAUGUAAUCAAUAGUUGUCAGGUCCAGGUAUACUAAAGGACAAGAGUGAGAAAAAAACAGACAAUAUAAAUAGACCUAUAGGUGAUCAAGAUUAAAUUGAUCAAAAUAGACUUAAAAACACCUGGGUUUAGUGCAUUCAAGAUAAUUGAUGAUAAAGUAAAAAUUUCAGCAGAGGACUGAAAGCCAUUGAAAAAAAGUAGAAAAUCUGGAAUUAAAAUACAACAGAUUUAACAAAGAACUUCAAAGAUACAUUUAAUCAAAUACUAAAAAGAGAUAAACAAGAAUUAGUGAACUAAAAGACAAAUCAGAGAAAAAUGACCAGAGAGAGAGAGAGAGAAAGAGAGAGAGAGAAGAUAUAGCAAAGAAUGUAAGAGACAUAGUAUACGUGGUCAAAGGGUCUAAACUGUAUGUCAUUAGAUUCCUAAUGAGAAGAAUGAGAAAAAGAGAGAUUAUAGCAAAAAUAAUGGUGUUAAGUUUUCUAAAACUGACGAAAACCCUCAAACCACUGAUUCAAGAAAUACUAUGAAUUCAAAAGGAAUAUAAAGAAAACUACAGAGUCACAACAUAGUAAAACUACUGAAAUAAAACAAAACAACAGUAAGAAAAUGUUGAAAAAAUAGCCAGAGAUGGCCGGGAGUGGUGGCUCACGCCUGUAAUCCUAGCACUUUGGGAGGCCAAGGCAGGCAGAUCACCUGAGGCCAGGAGUUCCAGACCAGCCUGACCAACAUGGUGAAACCCCAUCACUACUAAAAAUACAAAAAAAAUUAGCUGGGCAUGGUGGUGUGCACCUGUAGUCCCAGCUACUCAGGAGUCUGAGGCAGAAGAAUCGCUUGAACCUGGGAGACAGAGGUUGCAGUGAGCCAAGAUUGUGCCACUGCACUCCAGUCUGGGCAACAGAGCGAGUCUCCAUCUCAAAAAAAAGAAAAAAGCCAGAGAUAAAGAAAACAAUAGCUAUAAAUAAGUUACCUUAGACAAUAAAACUAUAUCUGGUUUUUCAAUAGAAACAAUGUAAGCCAGAAGACAACGGAAUCACAUCUUUGCUAAAACAAAAUAACUGCCUACCUAGAACUCUAUACUUAGGGAAACAAUUCUUUACAAAUAACAAAGGUGAAAUAAAGAUAGUUUCAGACAAACUAAAGUGAUGUCAUAUUAGCUAUUAAACCCAUAUUUCCCCAAAUCAAAAUUCCUCAGUGUUAUAAUAGUAAUUGUAACCACUGUACAAUAUUUAUGGGAGAUUGAGAAGUAGAUUAUUUGUGUUGAGAAUAUGUCUAUUUUCAUUCUUUUGUUUCAUAAGGUCCUGUGCCAUGGAAGCCUUGAAUUCCAGUGCCCGUUACUUCUUCUGCUGCCAGUGGCUCCCAUUUGUGUUCUCUCCUGUGGCAUCGGAUUCGAUGCAGAAAUGGGAUACCUGUGUACUCAUCAGCUCCUAUUCCUCCAGCUCAACCAAAGUUCUUUUAACAGUAAAAACCAAUAUGCAAAGAAGAGGAGGAAGAGAUGGAACCAUCAAGCCCUUCUGGGCUCAGAAUAUGUGUGUGUGAGCGCACAUACACAGUUGGCUACCUUACUCAAGUUUCCCUAUAACUAGAAAAUCUUAGAUGAUCCCAAAGUUUUGUGGAUUACCCACUGAUUAUUACUGGCGCAAAAGGAAGCUCUUCGCCGGGCGCGGUGGCUCACGCCUGUAAUCCCAGCACUUCGGAAGUCCGAGGCGGGCGGAUCACGAGGAUCAGGAGAUCCAGACCAUCCUGACUAAUAUGGUGAAGCCCUAUCUCUACUAAAAAUACAAAAAAUUAGCCGGGCAUGGUGGCGGGCGCCUGUAGUCCCAGCUACUUGGGCGGCUGAGGCCGGGGAAUCGCUUGAACCCGGGAGGUGGAGGUUGCAGUGAGCCGAGAUCGCACCACUGCACUCCAGCCUGGGCGACAGAGUGAGACUCGUCUUAAAAAAAAAAAAAAAAAAAAAAAGGAAGUUCUUCAUUGUGUCAUUGUCUUUAUUUUGUAUCUGACCUCUUUUCUGAGCUCAGUUAUUAGAUCUAGUUAUUGUCGGUUGACUCUCUUGGGUUUUCCAGGUAGUGAAUUUUACCCUCUGCAAGUAAUGAUAGUUUAGUAUCACUAAGAGAUAUACCUUUUAUUUCUUUUGCUUACUUUUUUUCACUGGGUGUUCCUCCAGAAAAAUAUUGAAAAAUGAUAAGCAGGAUUAUAUUGCAAGUUUCUGUAUUUUUUAACAUUCAAAUAAUAAUGUUGGCUUUGAUUUGUGACAAAAAUGCUUUGUCAGAUAAUAUAAACAUCUUUCUAUCUCUAGUUUACUGAAAGAUUUAUAAUAAAGUGUUUAAUUUUUAUCAAAGGCACUUUUAACAUUUAUUAUAAUAAAAUAUGUUUUAUUAUUUUGUUUCUUUUGUUCUAUCAAUGUGGUAAAUUACAUACUAGAUUUCCUAGUGUUAAGCUAUCACUGCAAUUCUAAACUAAAUGGUGUUUUUCCAACACCUAAUAUUCUUUUCAAUGCUUUGGUGGACUUGCUAAUUUUUCUUAUGAUUUUGUAUCCUAGAAUCUUAUUUCUUCUUGUUACCUUUGUCAAGUUCUAGUAACAUGUUAUGCUAGCCACAAGUAAUAAAUAUACUUUAAUGUCCAGAGUUUUAUAUGCUAUAUAAUAGCUUCAUUAGCAUAAACAUAGUUUAUUAUAAAAAGAUUUUCUAAAAAAUUAUCAUAAGACCUAUGAGGGGAUGCACAAAAAGGGAGUAAUACUUUGACAACUUCGUUUAUUUCUUUUGUGACUAUUUGUUCCUUCAUUGUUGUUUUAACUUCUUCCUUUUUCUCUAUUUUUAAAAUGUAUAUAUUUCCUAG
Molecule: long non-coding RNA, 10861 nt
Filed under: Homo sapiens (human)
Lineage: Eukaryota; Metazoa; Chordata; Mammalia; Primates; Hominidae
Description: HSALNT0203647
Source: RNAcentral